GACGGACGCUGGCGGCGUGCUUAACACAUGCAAGUCGUACGGUAAGGCCCUUUCGGGGGUACACGAGUGGCGAACGGGUGAGUAACACGUGCGUAACCUGCCCACCACUUUGGGAUAACGCUAGGAAACUGGUGCUAAUACUGGAUAUGUGCUCCUGCUGCAUGGUGGGGGUUGGAAAGCUCCGGCGGUUGUGGAUGGACUCGCGGCCUAUCAGCUUGUUGGUGGGGUAGUGGCCUACCAAGGCGGCGACGGGUAGCCGGCCUGAGAGGGUGACCGGCCACAUUGGGACUGAGAUACGGCCCAGACUCCUACGGGAGGCAGCAGUGGGGAAUAUUGCACAAUGGGCGCGAGCCUGAUGCAGCAACGCCGCGUGCGGGAUGACGGCCUUCGGGUUGUAAACCGCUUCCAGCAGGGACGAAGCUUUUUGUGACGGUACCUGCAGAAGAAGCACCGGCUAACUACGUG
Molecule: ribosomal RNA, 465 nt
Filed under: uncultured bacterium
Lineage: Bacteria
Description: partial 16S ribosomal RNA
Rfam family: Bacterial small subunit ribosomal RNA
Source: RNAcentral